UAUUUUGGCCAUUGGAAAAUUGAAAAUAGCCAUUGAGAGUGAAAAAUGGCCAUUGGAAGAAAGCUGAAAAAAUAGCUGUUAUGCUGUCGGUGACAGUCUUGUAAUUUUUUUGAAUGAUUGAGCCAGCUCACUCAGACUUUGAGUUGGUUCAAUCACAAAAGUCAGAAAUUCAACAUUCUGUCUUGCUUUCUGUUUGAGAUAG
Molecule: long non-coding RNA, 202 nt
Filed under: Elaeis guineensis (African oil palm)
Lineage: Eukaryota; Viridiplantae; Streptophyta; Magnoliopsida; Arecales; Arecaceae
Description: long non-coding RNA (EGUI_LNC045280)
Source: RNAcentral